GACGAACGCUGGCGGCGUGCCUAAUACAUGCAAGUAGAACGCUGAAGGAUGAGCUUGCUUCUCUGUAUGAGUUGCGAACGGGUGAGUAACGCGUAGGUAACCUGCCUGGUAUCGGGGGAUAACUAUUGGAAACGAUAGCUAAUACCGCAUAAUAGUAGAUGAUGCAUGACAUUUGCUUAAAAGGUGCAAUUGCAUCACUACCAGAUGGACCUGCGUUGUAUUAGCUAGUUGGUGGGGUAACGGCUCACCAAGGCGAUGAUACAUAGCCGACCUGAGAGGGUGAUCGGCCACACUGGGACUGAGACACGGCCCAGACUCCUACGGGAGGCAGCAGUAGGGAAUCUUCGGCAAUGGACGGAAGUCUGACCGAGCAACGCCGCGUGAGUGAAGAAGGUUUUCGGGUUGUAAAGCUCUGUUGUAAGGGAAGAAAGGGUGUGAGGGUGGAAAGUUCACGCUGUGACGGUAUCUUACCAGAAAGGGACGGCUAACUACGUG
RNAcentral lists this ribosomal RNA (495 nucleotides) under uncultured bacterium. RNAcentral describes it as "partial 16S ribosomal RNA". It matches the Rfam family "Bacterial small subunit ribosomal RNA", at positions 28 to 507 of the family's 1533-position model. The record is from RNAcentral.